CUCAGGACGAACGCUGGCGGCGUGCCUAAUACAUGCAAGUCGAGCGGACAGAAGGGAGCUUGCUCCCGGAUGUUAGCGGCGGACGGGUGAGUAACACGUGGGUAACCUGCCUGUAAGACUGGGAUAACUCCGGGAAACCGGAGCUAAUACCGGAUAGUUCCUUGAACCGCAUGGUUCAAGGAUGAAAGACGGUUUCGGCUGUCACUUACAGAUGGACCCGCGGCGCAUUAGCUAGUUGGUGGGGUAAUGGCUCACCAAGGCGACGAUGCGUAGCCGACCUGAGAGGGUGAUCGGCCACACUGGGACUGAGACACGGCCCAGACUCCUACGGGAGGCAGCAGUAGGGAAUCUUCCGCAAUGGACGAAAGUCUGACGGAGCAACGCCGCGUGAGUGAUGAAGGUUUUCGGAUCGUAAAGCUCUGUUGUUAGGGAAGAACAAGUGCGAGAGUAACUGCUCGCACCUUGACGGUACCUAACCAGAAAGCCACGGCUAACUACGUGCCAG
This 505-nucleotide ribosomal RNA is filed under the name Bacillus pumilus. Its description in RNAcentral is "bacterial SSU rRNA". It matches the Rfam family "Bacterial small subunit ribosomal RNA", at positions 23 to 511 of the family's 1533-position model. The record is from RNAcentral. Lineage: Bacteria; Bacillati; Bacillota; Bacilli; Caryophanales; Bacillaceae.